CUUGAUCAACACGAUGUGUUGAAUGUUCCAGGAUUAUAUACAAACCUUUAUUUGGACAAUCACUAUCCAUAGAUGCUUCGGCUGUGGUUUCUUGACUGCCAUGUACAGGACCAUCCAUUUCUGCACACCGCUGAGAUUCCAUUGAAUUCUGAAUUCUACUCACCCUCGAGAUCCAUGACGUUAUCCUCAGCCCCAAAUAUCGUUGGCACACUACCAUCUUCCAAGCUGAUGCGUGUAAAAUUCUGCUUGAAGCAGUCAGGUGUAAAAUGUGCUCAGCAUAAAACACUAUACUGAUUUGGAAGCCACUUCGUCCUUUCCAUAUUUUUCACCUAUAAUUGGGCCUGGAGUUCAUUUAUAGGGAACCUGAAGCAAGAUGCGAAUGUCUUAGAUCCAUACACUAACAGCUUGGGCCUAUACAAUAUGAAUUUUGCAAUAUUCACAACGGCCCAUGAUUCUGACGCUGAUGCUUGUGCACGUAACAAUCAGCAGCUCAAAUUUGAAAAAAAAUGCGCGCGCGCGUCACUCACCUCUUGUUUGUUCAUGACCAUGGAAACCGUAGUACGAUGCCCUCUCAUCAGGUAGCGCUUAUAGUAUUCUUGCGCGCUUUUAAUCGGCACACUUAGAAAGAUAUACCCCGCAUCCAGUUUCUAUAGAGAUCAGUGGAAAAAAUAGACUUGAUCCUCAACAGCUGUUGUUCGGCGAGCAGCACCAUUGCCUCUUCGGUGGUCCUGAAGUCCCACGAUGCCAUCUUCUCUGAACCUUGCGAUCCAGCGCUUCGCUGUAGAAAGGCUGAUAUCUACUUCGGCUACAAAAAUGAGAUAGUCACAGAAAUCGAUUUUAUUGAUUGAUCAAGAAAGAAGCUUUGUCUACUCUUAAUGAAUUAUUUCAGCUGCUAUUGCUGGAACUGAUACACUGGACUUCCAGAGUCCUAUCACUCGCCCACGCCUGGUUUGAUCCAUUUUAUUAUAAGAUUGAUAACUCCUAAUUUUUUCGCGUAAUACAAUACGAAUCUCCUUUAACGCAUCAACAAGGCAAAAGAGUUAUGAAAUCCGUGAUUCAAAUGUUUUUCCGAUGCGCGGGCACUCGUUUCCCACAAGUUGUCAAUUGUUUUUGAAUGCAUCCCUGCUUUCCCUUCAGCACUCUCGCGAUGAGAAAAACUCUCACACUUUUGCCCAUGCGCACGCAUGCGUAGAGAUCUUUAAAUUUCAAAAGUUCAAAGCAAGAUACAUUCGAAAAUUCUAAAACAUACUCUAUUUUUAUAUGUAAGUCUCGAAAUCAGGGACUUAUUUCAGGUAUCAGGUUUUGGAGGUUCGGUAAUCAAACAAGCAUUGAUGCAGUCAGAUACAACUGUAAUAAACAAACAUAUUUACAGAUGAGCUUAGAUUUACAAUACCAUUCUAACAUACAAAGCUUUAAUCAUAAUUAGCCUACCUGAUUCGAUACAAUUGUUGGUAGCCUUAUUUUACGCUUAGUAAUACUCGCUGAGUCAUCACGCUCUAAUUCUCCCACAUGGCUUUUCUUCUCUGCUUGGUCAAGUCACCUGUCGUGUUAUUGACCAAGCCUAACCACCUUGUUUGGCGGUUCCUUCAAACUUACAUAUACUCAAAUAUUAUCAGGAUUACUUAUAUUUAAAAAAUACUAGGUCGACAAAGAUUAUAAAUUAUACAAUAAUAAUUCCGAGUUUGUAACUAUAUUUUAAUUGCUUACAUUCAAGCAGAAAUCAUCAGUUUUAAUAAGCAAAUAUAUAUAUUUCUUCUGGAAAGAAAUAUCAAUUUAUUUUAAAAUAAUAUUUGGUAUCAUUAAUGUUAACUUAAAUUUUCAUAAACAAUAUGAACGAAUAUUUAAACUUUGAAAUGUUUAACCCUUUCCACUCCAAGGCUGUUUUUGUUUUCAUUCCCAUCCAAGGCUGUUUUUGUUUUCAUCCCAUUAUAUUUGUAAGUCGAUGGGAUGCAGAAGCGCUCGUACCCACCGGCUCGUAAGCCCCACUGCAAUUUGGUACGGUUUGGUCCGUUCACGUAUUUGAGUUUUGGGCAAUUCUGCGAUUCCUCCCGGCACAUCUCGUGGCCGAAUUAAGCUAUCGUACGUUUUGGAAAAUAUAAUAUCUGAGUCUUCAGUUUGGUCUUGUACCGUUUCUCCCGUGCAUUUGCUGCACGUGGCCUAAUUUAGUACGUUCCGUAGAAAAGUAAUUAAGUAAUACGUUAAGUAAGCCUUAGUGAUAUCUGGUGAUACUCUAUGGUAUUUUGAUUAUAAUUUGAUGACCUAUGUAACAUGCUCUACCGUAUGGAUUUGUAAUUUCUUUGGAUAAUUUGUUACUCCUACGUUAAAUAUUUUGUUCCGUUACGUUCCCGCUCAGUUUGUGAAAUCUAUUUGCCUGUUACCGUAGGGUAGCCACGGAUAAGCGCUCCGUCUAAAACCGCGUUUUCCUUCCGUUCGUAAUUAUCGCAUAUUUGGAACAUCCGUAAAAAGUAUCAGUAAUCUUCCGGUAGGCCUUCCGAAUACCGGAACUAUGAUUCUGUACUACCGUGAAUGAUUUCCCGCUACCGUUAAACGAAUUAUAUUUUGUUACUUCCGAACUUUUGUAAAUCUACCGAUU
Athalia rosae (coleseed sawfly) is the source of this 2593-nucleotide long non-coding RNA. RefSeq lists it as uncharacterized. NCBI's taxonomy places the organism in Eukaryota, Metazoa, Arthropoda, Insecta, Hymenoptera, Athaliidae. The record is from RefSeq and is a predicted model, not a curated record. The transcript is spliced from 3 exons.